Pygocentrus nattereri (red-bellied piranha) is the source of this 734-nucleotide long non-coding RNA. RefSeq lists it as uncharacterized. The record is from RefSeq and is a predicted model, not a curated record. The transcript is spliced from 3 exons. NCBI's taxonomy places the organism in Eukaryota, Metazoa, Chordata, Actinopteri, Characiformes, Serrasalmidae.
CUCAAUGAAUGAAAUAGAAUCAGCGAGGUGCCUUUUCCAGUCUUGAGAAACUGGCUGCUAUAAUUUACUACAACCACCAGAUGUCACUGUUGUCCGUGCUCCAAAGUAGUGGCUCUUCAGCGUCGUAAGGAAGAAGCCCAAAAAGUCUUCACAAGGCUUCGUCUGCACGUCGCCACUGGAAACGUGAAACCAAAAAACGGACAUAAAGCAUGGGUUUCAGUACUGAAGGCGGAGUGAGUGGAAACCGGGGCUGCCUCCAGAAAGCCUAACAGGAACAAAAGGGAUGAACAUUAAAGAAGUGGACGGGUACUGGCUGAGGAAGAGGUGCUUUUACACGGGGGAAAAUUGCAUCCAUCAUGGAAUUACUCGAGUCUGGUGGAAUGUUAACAGUGACAAGAAUGAACAAGCAAACUUUUUGGAGGUAGUAAAACAGUUUGCAGUUGAUGAAAGGUGACUCUAGAUGAGGAAUGCAUGAAUUUAACAGUACUGUGACUUCUUUACCCCAACGUUCAUUGACACAGAAGCACAUUCCUUCCCCCAUUGUUUUUGCUGGUGAUCUCUGUGUAUCUGUUCAGUCAGAUCAGAAAACCAGAAGCAGAGGGCAGACCCAGGCCAUGUCUGCUGACACUUCUUCCUUUCUUUCACCUCUUCACCAGCUAGAGCAGAGACCGUUGUGAGGAUUUCCCAAAACUCUGAAGGUUUUUGAAUAAAUUCCAGAAUAAAAUUAGGUAAAA